RNAcentral lists this long non-coding RNA (673 nucleotides) under Cyanistes caeruleus (blue tit). Its description in RNAcentral is "lncRNA (ENSCCEG00000024016.1)". Lineage: Eukaryota; Metazoa; Chordata; Aves; Passeriformes; Paridae. The record is from RNAcentral.
CUUGUCAAAAGUGACUCCCUUCCUAUCACUGACUUGCAGCUUAACUACAAAUUACCUUUUGUGUUUCACAUCUCUGUGUUGCUUCCUCUUGCAUGAAUUUGCCUAGUGACUUCUUUAAGCCCAGAUAUAUGUCUGAUAUCCAGGGCACCCAGUGUCAAGGAGCUCCAAUGUUUAACAGAGAAGCCUUUCCGUCUGUUAGAAUCUGAUAUUUUUGCGUGGUCAUUAAUUGUUCUUCUAUCAGGAGGGGGUCUACUUAUUGUGGAGCCUCCCUAUGUCACUCUUGAGUUUAGAAGUUUCCAGCACCUCCUGAUUUGUCUCUUGGAACUCAGUAGCUGUGGAAACCAGCAGGUGAUGAACUCAGUUGCCCCACUUCUCUGAACUGCAGGAGGAGUAAUGACAUACCCAAAGCAUGGCAGAAGAAAUCAUUGUCAGGUAAUCCAGCUUUGGAAAAGAACAAACAGUGAGAACAGCAUCAGAAGCUUUGAACAACGAAACACUCAUAUCAAGGAAUGCCAGUGGAAACACGAUCCUUCUGCAGCACAGAAAGGAUGUACAGACUUGAAUUCCUCCGUAGCCACAUGAAGCAGGAGUAAUUAGAACUGGCUGGACAAUUGCCAGCAGCGUGUUCUCAUUGAGAAAUAAAAUCCUGUUACAAUGUAAGUACUUAACUAGG